Molecule: non-coding RNA, 27 nt
Filed under: Rattus norvegicus (Norway rat)
Lineage: Eukaryota; Metazoa; Chordata; Mammalia; Rodentia; Muridae
Source: RNAcentral
AGAAAGGGACAAGCUUGGGCUGCCUUG